This is a non-coding RNA of Microcebus murinus (gray mouse lemur), 599 nucleotides long. The record is from RefSeq and is a predicted model, not a curated record. NCBI's taxonomy places the organism in Eukaryota, Metazoa, Chordata, Mammalia, Primates, Cheirogaleidae.
CCUGAGGAGCGAACACCAAGUUAGGGGAAUGGGCGAGGCAAGCGGGGGCCAAGGUCUGCGGGGGCAACCGCCAGAGACUGGGGGCUGGAGAGGAACCAGACGAGGGUCUUAAUCCGAAUAUAACUGAAUGACAAGGUUUCCCAGCCAGGGGUCUACUAGCCUCUACAGAACAUGCAGGAAAAUGGAGUCCUUCCUCUCCAGGUUGUAAGAGCUGUGAGGUGGCCUCCAACCACUGCUUCACCACCCGGAGACCCUCCUCUGCCAUCACACGUGGGUACCUACAGAGGGAGUGCCAGGACAGGAGGUCAGGACUGAAUUCUCUUCACUCCUCAUCCCUGAACUUUCCUCCCUCCUUCGUUGUGCUGGCAUCAGUACUAUGUGUGUACCUGUGCCCCAGCACACACGCCCUGGCUCUCACCGAUGCUGCAGGAGCUUCAGCAGAAGGUCGUUGCCUCGGUUGGACAUGAUGUCCUCAGGAACCCUGGGGGUAAGAAGAAUGUGCCCUGCGGGAAAAGGGAACCACCUCCAGUCAGAAAACUCCCAGUUCCAACCCAGCCCUUCCCUCGAAGAGGAGGCCUGGGAGCUACACUUACUCCAGC